AUUCCCAGAAAAUCUGGUGUGAGGAAGAUAUUGCAAGAGGUUGAAGACUGUUGUAUCAAUCAUGAAGAAAGACAUUGUUGUAUUUAUUUGUGUCUUGUCAUUAAUUGGAUUAGCUGCAGCAUGGGCAGGAAACUUAUGCUAUCGAACUAGACGGAAGUGUCGCUGGGUCUGGGGAUGUAGAUACAGUACCUGGCAGGGAUGUUGUGACUGGGGAUGGAUAAGUCAAGAAAAUGAAGAGAGGGAAUACUUCUGUUGCUCUGGUUGGAGGCAUAACGGGAAUCAGAACUGUAAUAUAG
Saccostrea cuccullata (small rock oyster) is the source of this 296-nucleotide long non-coding RNA. RefSeq lists it as uncharacterized. The transcript has 3 exons. Lineage: Eukaryota; Metazoa; Mollusca; Bivalvia; Ostreida; Ostreidae. The record is from RefSeq and is a predicted model, not a curated record.